Molecule: ribosomal RNA, 276 nt
Filed under: uncultured prokaryote
Description: partial 16S ribosomal RNA
Rfam family: Bacterial small subunit ribosomal RNA
Source: RNAcentral
UACGUAGGGGCUAGCGUUAUCCGGAAUUACUGGGCGUAAGGGUGCGUAGGUGGUUUCUUAAGUCAGAGGUGAAAGGCUACGGCUCAACCGUAGUAAGCCUUUGAAACUGGGAAACUUGAGUGCACCGGAGAGGAGAGUGGAAUUCCUAGUGUAGCGAUGAAAUGCGUAGAUAUUAGGAGGAACACCAGUUGCGAAGGCGGCUCUCUGGACUGUAACUGACACUGAGGCACGAAAGCGUGGGGAGCAAACAGGAUUAGAUACCCUGGUAGUCCCUGA